GACGAACGCUGGCGGCGUGCCUAACACAUGCAAGUCGAACGGAAAGGCCCUGCUUUUUUGGGGUGCUCGAGUGGCGAACGGGUGAGUAACACGUGAGUAACCUGCCCUUGACUUUGGGAUAUCUUCAGGAAACUGGGGCUAAUACCGGAUAGGAGCUCCUGCUGCAUGGGGGGGGUUGGAAAGCUUCGGCGGUUGGGGAUGUACUCGCGGCUUACCAGCUUGUUGGUGGGGUAGUGGCUUACCAAGGCUUUGAGGGGUAGCCGGCCUGGGAGGGGGACCAGCCAGACUGGGCCUGAAAUACGGCCCGGACUCGUACGGGAGGGAACAGUGGAGAAUAUUGCACAGUGGGAGGAAGCCUGAUGCAACAACGCCGCGUGCGGGAAAACGGCCUUCGGGUUGGAAACCGCUUUCGCCUGUGACGAAGCGUGAGUGACGGUAAUGGGUGAAGAAGCACCGGCUAACUACGUG
This 468-nucleotide ribosomal RNA is filed under the name uncultured bacterium. RNAcentral describes it as "partial 16S ribosomal RNA". It matches the Rfam family "Bacterial small subunit ribosomal RNA", at positions 28 to 507 of the family's 1533-position model. The record is from RNAcentral.